This 497-nucleotide ribosomal RNA is filed under the name uncultured bacterium. Its description in RNAcentral is "partial 16S ribosomal RNA". It matches the Rfam family "Bacterial small subunit ribosomal RNA", at positions 28 to 507 of the family's 1533-position model. The record is from RNAcentral.
GACGAACGCUGGCGGCGUGCCUAAUACAUGCAAGUUGAGCGCUGAAGGUUGGUACUUGUACCAACUGGAUGAGCAGCGAACGGGUGAGUAACGCGUGGGGAAUCUGCCUUUGAGCGGGGGACAACAUUUGGAAACGAAUGCUAAUACCGCAUAAAAACUUUAAACACAAGUUUUAAGUUUGAAAGAUGCAAUUGCAUCACUCAAAGAUGAUCCCGCGUUGUAUUAGCUAGUUGGUGAGGUAAAGGCUCACCAAGGCGUUGAUACAUAGCCGACCUGAGAGGGUGAUCGGCCACAUUGGGACUGAGACACGGCCCAAACUCCUACGGGAGGCAGCAGUAGGGAAUCUUCGGCAAUGGACGAAAGUCUGACCGAGCAACGCCGCGUGAGUGAAGAAGGUUGUCGGAUCGUAAAACUCUGUUGGUAGAGAAGAACGUUGGUGAGAGUGGAAAGCUCAUCAAGUGACGGUAACUACCCAGAAAGGGACGGCUAACUACGUG